CACGUAGGGACCAAGCGUUGUCCGGAUUCAUUGGGCGUAAAGAGCUCGUAGGCGGCUCAGUAAGUCGGGUGUGAAACCUCCAGGCUCAACCUGGAGACGCCACCCGAUACUGCUGUGGCUAGAGUCCAGUAGGGGAGCGUGGAAUUCCUGGUGUAGCGGUGAAAUGCGCAGAUAUCAGGAGGAACACCAGCGGCGAAGGCGGGCUUCUGGUUGACUUCUGACGCUGAGGUGCGAAAGCUAGGGGAGCGAACGGG
RNAcentral lists this ribosomal RNA (254 nucleotides) under uncultured bacterium. RNAcentral's name for it is "partial 16S ribosomal RNA". It matches the Rfam family "Bacterial small subunit ribosomal RNA", at positions 524 to 776 of the family's 1533-position model. The record is from RNAcentral.